CCCUGCCAUUUGUACACACCGCCCGUCGCUACUACCGAUUGAAUGGCUUAGUGAGGCCUUUGGAUCUGCCUGGUACUUGUACCUGGUGUGAGAAAUUGGACAAACUUGGUCAUUUAGAGGAAGUAAAA
This 128-nucleotide ribosomal RNA is filed under the name uncultured eukaryote. Its description in RNAcentral is "partial small subunit ribosomal RNA". It matches the Rfam family "Eukaryotic small subunit ribosomal RNA", at positions 1651 to 1787 of the family's 1831-position model. The record is from RNAcentral.